CACGGGGGGAGCAAGCGUUGUUCGGAAUCACUGGGCGUAAAGGGUGUCUAGGCGGUCAGGUAAGUGAGAUGUGAAAUGCCCCGGCUUACCCGGGGACCGGCAUCUCAUACUGUCUGGCUUGAGUAUGGGAGAGGAUGAGGGAAUUCCUGGUGUAGCGGUGAAAUGCGUAGAUAUCAGGAGGAACACCGGUGGCGAAAGCGCUCAUCUGGCCCAAUACUGACGCUGAAGCACGAAAGCUAGGGGAGCAAACGGG
This 253-nucleotide ribosomal RNA is filed under the name uncultured bacterium. RNAcentral describes it as "partial 16S ribosomal RNA". It matches the Rfam family "Bacterial small subunit ribosomal RNA", at positions 524 to 776 of the family's 1533-position model. The record is from RNAcentral.